RNAcentral lists this long non-coding RNA (3059 nucleotides) under Nicotiana tabacum (common tobacco). Its description in RNAcentral is "long non-coding RNA (NTAB_LNC001155)". Lineage: Eukaryota; Viridiplantae; Streptophyta; Magnoliopsida; Solanales; Solanaceae. The record is from RNAcentral.
GUGCUUCUUCUGCGAAUGGGCUGGGGUCUGCUGAACUGCAGUCCAGGUGUAGAGCAUGCAACCGCACUUCUGAGCUUUUAGGCUGGGUAAAAGAUGUAUUCCAACAUUGUGCACCGACAUGGGACAAGGAAUCUUUGCUAAGAGAACUAACUGUUGUAAGUAAGAUCUUUCGACUGAGUGAAAACACAAGAGGGAGGCAGCUGUUUUGGAAGUCUGAGGAGCUCAUAGAAAAACUAAAGGGUGGAGUAGCAGAGGCCAUAGCUAGCAGAAGUAUAUUAUCUUUUCUCCAAGGUAAAUCUCGUAUCUUGUUCUCUAUUGCUACUGCACUUUCUGGAACAAUGCAUAAAAACUGCUAUAUGGUUUAUAUCUAAAUGUUGAGGCAUAGUUGUUUGAUUGAUUGAUAUGCCUUGGAUCUCAAGCUGUAUCAAAUACUUUCCAUCUUUAGUUUAGGUAACUUGGGAUGAAACAUGUAACAAUAACUCAUCACUCGUGACAAGAGUUUUAGCCGACCUUUCUGCUCUUGAAUCUUGGAAUCAGAUAUGCUCUUGCUCUGUUAAGCGUGUCGACAGAGAGAUUGAAGACAUGCUUGAUCCAUAAAGGAUUCUUUUCAUGCUCUUCCUUUGUUGCUCGUAUCAUCUUUUUUAUCCAGCUCUUCUUAGUUAUUUUUUGCUUUAGAUAGAAAAUUAGUUUUUACAGAAGGGAGAGGUAGCAGUACAAUCAUCGAGGGUCAGGUUCUUCUCCCUUCUGUAAACAUUAAGUUUUAAGGUUAGAAGUUAGAAUCAAGAUUGCAAAAAAAAAUUACAUGGAAAAGAAUUCAGAUUAUCCAAGUUCCAGAACCUUCUAUUAUUUAACUGGUGAAAAAAUGAAAUUGGAAAGAACAUCAAGCAAAUUGAGCAACUAUCUUGUCACUCUUAUCAUUGAAAUGACAAAAGAAAGUGGCACUUUCAUGUAGCCUGAGAUGGUGGUAAAUGUCUGAGAUCAGGAUGUCAUGAAGUGGAAGGUCUCCUACAACUGUGAAAUAGAUAAGAAAUAGGAGGUAUCACUUUCAAGAUUUCAUUGUUUGAGAUGAAUAUAUUUUCUAUUCAAUGGCAGCAAAGGUGAGAAUAGCCUAUGUGCUAAAGGAAAGUACUGACUCCUGCCACAUCCUCAAAAUCUAAGCGGAAUAGAAGUCAAAUGUCUAGCAGGAUUACCAGUUUCCUGCACUUGUAUAUAAAAGUGAAAUAUCUCGAAUGAAUUCACCAAGUCUACUUUCUCUCCAAAGCUAUAUUCUUUCACAGUUUAUAACAUUCUGAUCCUUAGAUUUAUGCUUAACUCCUCUUCAAGUGUUCACCUUCUUUUGUCAGUUUCACUCUCCUCUUGUAUCUGCUUUUGUGUUCUUCCACUUCUGUACUGUAAAUUUAAAUCUCUGUACUUGACUAUGUAUUUUGGUACACUAUAUUCUCUGCUGAUCAACCAUCAACCACCCCAAGCUUCCCUUGGCUGAGCUCUAAUUUUGGUACAAGAUAUGAGGGCGACAAAUAUUUCAUACUUCCCAAUAGUUAAGGAGCUCCAUUUGUUUUUUGGCGAUAGAUCUGUUGGUAUAUAACCUAGGUGCUAACUGCUAUGUUGCUGUAGAUCAAAAAUUGAUCCUUUAAAAGUUCCUGCAGGAACUAUAUAUUUUUAUAAUCCCCAAAAAGAAGCUACUGCCUCCUUGCCAUCCAUGUUGCAUGCUUAUCACUUUUUUGUUUCUUGGUGUUCUGAACACCUAUUUCCCUCUCAAUCCUCACUAUGUCCAAUUUCUCCUAUUUUUUUGUUCUUUUUUCAAAAUUUAGCGUGAGAGAUUUUCCUGCAAAAAGGCCGAAAAGAGUGAUUUACUUCUGCUGAGGAACUAGAAAUUAAAUCUGCACUAGUAGAAAUGCCUGUAUCACCAUCAUCAACAACAACAACAACAACCCAGUAUAAUCCCACUUAGUGGGGUCUGGGGAGGGUAGUGUGUACGCAGAACUUACCCCUACCCUAGGGUAGAGACUGUUUCCAAAUAGACCCCCGGCAUCCUUCCCUCCAAGAACUUCCCACCUUGCUCUUGGGGAGACUCGAACUCACAACCUCUCGGUUGCAAGUGGGGGUUGCUUACCAUCAGAGCAACCCCUACAGCUUCCUUAAAGAGUUUGAAGGUUCCAUGUUCUAUCUCACUAGAGUUACUUUCUCCUGAGUCCUGCCUCCCUUUACUGUCUGUUUCUUUUUUUAUUUCUGCCUCAGUAGUGAAGUCUCUUUGAGUGAUUGGUCCUCCUUCUGACUCUAUUUAUGUGAUCUCUGACUCUAUCCGCACCUUCCCUUUCAUGAUCCACUUGCAUCCCAUUUUCUAAGGCUGAUGGGCACAGAUCGGUCCUUAUUUUGAAGGAAGAAAAGAUAGAAUAAUUUGGGAAUUCCAUCAUUUCCCGUCAUAUAUUUUCCUGCCAAAUUUUGGUGCAAACAGGGGAAAGAUGACCAGAUUCUGGUACAUGCAUGGAAAUGCCGCACACGGACACGGAUAGAAGGUUUAUGUGAGAUGCCUCCUUUCCUUUUCUCCUUCUAUCUGAUAGGACAAAAUUCAUUCUUCUCGGGAUGAACAUCCGCCCUUCAUCCUUUUCCCUUUCUCAAUCACUCAUCAUGCUAUCACCAAAAUCCUAAGAAGUUGAAAAGAGAGUAGGCCUAAAAUGCAUGGCAUAAUUUCUUCUUGUAUCUUCGUUACUUUCUUGGAAGAACUAUUCUGAAUAUCAUCAAUUUAUGUACUCAUUUUGGUGAAGAGCUUGAGAUGGACUCACAAAAGAGCAGUGAGGCUGGAAUUAACGGAAGGAUGAUGCCACCACAGGAGGCAUGCAGCCGAAUCGCUGAAGUGGUACAAGAAGCAGUGCAAAAAAUGGAAAUAGUGGCCGACGAAAAAAUGAGGAUGCUAAAGAGAGCUCGCCAAGCUCUCGAGGCUUGUGAUCAUGAACUGGAGGAAAAAGGUAAGGAAGUUGCAGAACUGAAGCUGGAGAGGCAGCGAAAAAGGCAACAGAUAGACGAAUUGGAGAGCGUUGUUAGGCUUAAAGAAGCAGAAG